AUAUCACCGUAUAUGUGAUAAAGGUACUCCAAACAAACAAUGAGCAUCAAUUAGUCGCGCUGAGACGAUGACUCACUCCCUUGAGCUUCCACAGGUUUUGUUUGUUUUGAAAACGCCUGUCCUGCCAGAUUUUUUAUUCAAACUUUACUUCACGUCUGGUUUGAAUCGGGAAACAAAUACUUUUAAAUAUGCACUUAGAUCUACUAUGUAAGAACUCAAUACAAGACCAUAUUGACCUCAGGAUUCAUAGAUGCAAACAACUUCUCAUCACACCCACAACCUUGGUCAUUGUCCUGUUGGAACACCCAACUGAGCCCAAGACCCAAACUCCAGGCUGAUGAUUUUAGGUUGUCCUGAAGAAUUUGGAGGUAAUCCUCCUUUUUCAAUGUCCCAUUUAAAGCACCAGUUCCAUCGGCAGCAAAACAGGCCCAGAGCAUAAUACCACCACCACCACCAUGCUUGACGAACUUUUCUCCAGAAGGUCUUAGCUUUGUCCAUGUGGGCCCGGCCGUGCACAGCCCGAAAAGGCAACAUGGGUCCUCCCUCCAAUGAGCUCAUCCACUCAUAGGAGGGGCCACAGAAGUCAAAUGCAGUGUGAGCUGAGUGGUAGCGGCCGAAAGCAGGGCACUUGGCGGUCCGAUCCUCAGCUACAUAAGCUAGCUCUUGGGACGUGGAACUUCACAUCGCUGGGGGGGAAGGAGCCUGAGCUAGUGCGCGGGGUGGAGAAGUUCCGGCUAGAUAUAGUCGGACUCACUUCGACAGACAGCAAGGGCUCUGGAACCAGUUCUCUUGAGAGGGGCUGGACUUUCUUACACACUGGUGUUGCAUGCAGUGAGAGGCGACGUACUGGGGUGGAAAUUCUUGUUACUCCCCGCUCAAAGCCUACACGUUUAAUAGUAAGGUGUAUGUAUAUAUUGCAUCGCAUCUCAUAAUCUUGACAACACACUGUGUCCAAUGUUUUCACAAAGAUAAAAUAAGUCAUAUUUUUGGUUCGUUUCAUAGUUAAAACAAAUUUACAUUAUUGCAAUCAGUUGAUAAAACAUUGUCCUUUACAAUUAUAAAAGCUUUUUGAAAAAAAAUCUACUACUCUGCUAUCAUGUCAGCAGACUGGUAGAUCCUGCUGAAAUCCUAUGUAUUGAAUGAAUAAAGAAUCGGUUUGAAUCGGAAAAAUAUCGUUUUUGAAUCGAGAAUCGAAAAAAAUCGAUAUAUUAUCAAAUCGUGACCCCAAGAAUCGAUAUUGAAUCGAAUGGUGGGACACCCAAAGAUUCGCAGCCCUAAUACAUACAAUCAUACAUACAUACAUACAUACAUAGCCCGGCCCACCGGCCAAAUUUUUUUAACCCAAUGCGGCUCCCAGGUCAAAAAGUUUGGGGAUCCCUGCUCUAAACCCUAUCAUAAGACUCAGUUAUCAAACACAUUUUAAAUGUACAAGCAGAAACUAUACAUUAUGGUACUUACAAAACGUUCCACUACACAUCACGUCUUGUUAAAGUGUCUUCAUGCCGGAAAAUGUGAAAUUGACUUGUAAGAAUGCACCCUCUGCUGGAUUCAUAGCUGCUAGAGAUGCGCGGAUAGGCAAUUAUAUCAUCCGCAACCGCAUCACUAAAGUCGUUAUCCACCCGCACCAACAUUUUAUCAACACCGCAACCGCCCGCCACCCGCCCGUUGUUAUAUAUCAGGGGUCGGCAGCUUAUACCAUUCAUAGAUCUAUAUUGACCCGUUUCAUAGAGAAUAAAAGAUAAUGAGAGCCGCAAACAUUUUUGCGACUGUUUGCUGGUGCUUAUUCAGAUAACGAGAUUAAAGGCAUGCUAUGAAGCCAUUGACACCUUCAACAACAUGUACAAACUGUUUUUUUGCCAGUCCAGUAACAUGUUGAGUGCAGCUUCCGCAGACACACGUACAAGAUUGAAAGGCAAUACUGGGUGACACAGAGAACACUGAUGGUUGUGAUAUAAACAAUUUAAACACAACAAAUACCCAGUAUUUUAUUACCAACGCGUGGGGGUGGGGGGCGGGGUUUGGUGCUAGCAAGGUGUAUAAUAUAGUCAGGAAGACUCAUGGAUGCAAAGGAGUCUGGGUAUUUGUUGUGUUACGUUUAUGUUGUGUUACUGUGAGGAUGUUCUCCCGAAAUGUGUUUGUCAUUCUAGUUUGGUGUGGCUUCACAGCGUGGCCCAUAUUAGUAAGAGUGUUAAAAUUGUUUAUAUCACAACCAUCAGUGUACUCUGUAUCACCCAGUAUGCCUCUCAGUCGUGUACAUGUGUCUGCGGAAGCCACAUAUAACAUAUUGCUGGACUGGUAUGCAGUUUAUACAUGUUGAAGAAGGCUUCAAAGGCAACGGCUUCAUAGCACGCCCUAAUUCUUGUCAAAUGGGUGACCGCCAGCAGAUAUUCGCGAGAAUGUUUGCGGCUCCUGUUGUUUCUUUACUUUGUGAUACGGGUCAAAAUGGCUCUUUGAGAGUUAAAGGUUGCUAAUCCCUGAACCAUGAAUAUCAAUUCCGAAUGGUUCAACCGACACACCCCCCGAAUCUAUUUAAAAUCAAAUUUUUCGUCAUGUCACCCGCCCGACCCGCGGAUGAGACCGCAAACCGCGCAUCUCUAAUAGCUGCAGAACUCCAGGAGCCACAAAACCCCUUUUUAUUGUACUUAAAGAAAUCUGUGAAUAAGCAGCAAUCUACUUCAUGACCUGUGAUGUGAGCCACCACAUUUUUAGCAUUUAUGUAAGGACACAUGCAAAGUUUUCAUUGAACAUCGACAUAUAUCGAAUGUGUCUCUAGAAGGCCAUGAUAUGAAUAAAAGUUUUGCCUGGUUUUGACCCCACUGUUGCCAUUUGGACUUACCAGAGCUUCAUUUGGAUUUUCUGAAAGAUCAACCAGCAACUGCAUGAACAGCGACUAAAAAGCAAUACAGAAAACAACAGAGUCAGUCAAAGGAAGUCAAGAGAGUCAAUACUUGCACUGUUGGACUCACCUGGCCCAGGCAGUAUCACUUCUUGUGGACCAAAACUUAGCCGACGUGAAAAAAUAUCAAUCUUAACCACGAGCUGCACACAACCGCACAACCAUGCCAAAAUAAUAUUUUUAUUUAAUUAAAAGAUCCCAUACAAAAAACACACACUGCAUAAAACAAAAGCUGCAGGGAGUGAAAUUCCACCAUAAAUUAAACUGUAAUUAAUUUUAAUAAAAAGACAGAGGUCAUGUAAACAGUGGCGUCGCCGAUAAACUCUUAAUUACCUUUGUAUUCAUUUAGUCCAAACCCAUUCAGAGCACUUCAAUGUACUAAUUUAAUGCCUGAGAGAUUAUUUAACACCACACUUCUCUCGUCAGCACUUAGCCUCCUAAUGCUGACCUCAUCCAAAAGGAUGGGGGGGUGUUGAAAAUACAAGGGAAUCGCUGUACCGUGUGAUAUUAAUAGUGCACGUUGGGAUAAGAACGGCCCAGUUCUACAGCCAAUUUGGCAAACGAUUUUAACAGAGAAAAAAAUACCCAUUACUGCAGCUUGACACAAACACAAAAAAUGUUGGCAAAAAAAAAAAAAGAAAGAGAAAUGCUAUAAUGUGGCAGGAUUCCCUUUGAAAUGUGUUCAUAUGCAUACAAAUGUUUUGUUUGAAUUUUAUGAAGGACUAUCACGGCAACACUGAAAAGAAAAAGACAUUAUACUGAGGGGGAAAAGUCUUAUUAUUAUUGUGGGAAUAAAUACACUUUCACGUAUGUGCUUGCAGUUUAGAGGAAGAGGGCUGUAAUAAUAUAACUGAAAAUGCUGCACACAAAAAAAUACAAAAUAAAAGAUCCUACAGUUCAUCAUAGUCACAUACUUGUAACACGUUUUCCUUUGUUUAAAUCCUCCUAAAUUUGUGGUUUUAUCCUUAAUGUGUAAGCUUUUUAUGUUUUGUCAAAACAAAGUGUUUCUUGUAUUUUUUAUUUGUUUUUAGAACUUUAUAAGUUUGUUGUGACUUCACAAUUAUUAUUAUUUUUUUCUUAAAAUUGUACCGCUUUUUUCCAGUAACAUUUCAGCUUAAUUUCUAGAACAGUGUUUACCACUUUAAACUCGGAAAUUUUAUACAAAGAAUUUUUUUUUUUCUCUUGUACUAUUUUUGACCAAAACAGCAUUGUUCAGGAACAUUUUCAACUUAGUUUGUGUAAAUAUAAAACUACCAUAUUUUUCGGACUAUAAGUCGCAGUUUUUUUUCAUAGGUUGGCCGGGGGUGCGACUUAUACUCAGGAGUGACUUAUGUGUGAAAUUAUUAACACAUUACCGUAAAAUAUCAAAUAAUAUUAUUUAGCUCAUUCACAUUAGAGACUAGACGUAUAAGAUUUCAUAGGAUUUAUCGAUUAGGAGUGACGUAUUAUUUGGUAAACGUAUAGCAUGUUCUAUAUGUUAUAGGUAUUUGAAUGACUCUUACCAUAAUAUGUUACGUUAACAUACCAGGCACCUUCUCAGUUGGUUAUUUAUGCCUCAUAUAACGUACACUUAUUCCGCCUGUUGAUCACUAUUCUUUAUUUAUUUUAAAUUGCCUUUCAAAUGUCUAUUCUUGGUGUUGGGUUUUAUCAAAUAAAAUUCUCCCAAAAAUGCGACUUAUACUCCAGUGCGUUUUUUUUCUUCUUUAAUAUGCAUUUUCGGCUGGUGCGACUUAUACUCCGGAGCGAAUUACAUUGUUAUGUUAUAAUGUGUGUGUUUGAUAUGUUUAUCUGUGUAAUUUUACAACUUCUUUUUUCAUGAGAACUUACAAUUUUUUUCCAAUUAUAUCACAACUUUUUCCCCAUACAUUAUUUGUACUUUAAUAAUGUAACUAAAUGACUUUUUACUCCUAAUUUCACAACUUUUUUUCUAGAGUAAAAAAGUACUAUUUCAUUCUGCUAAAUUUACAAGGUUAGUCACGUAACUAUUUCUUAAAUUUUUAGUCCGGCAGUAAUACUCCUUCAUAAGAUUUUACGCAGUGCACAAGUAAUAACAAAAACAAAAAUGUUGACUCGCGUGAAGCCUUUCAAAAUCCUUACACAAUCUUACUCAAGUGUGCAAAUCAGUGAAGACUUCCAAAGUAAAUGUGCAAUUAGUGUUGAUUACGACUGGCUUCCCUUUAGAGGCACAAAAGCUUGAGGAAUUCCACUUAGAAGAAAAUCAAGAGUUUUCAGAGGCGUCGCGCACACCUAAAAAGUAGUCCAUCUACAUUUGUGAAGUCAUUCAGUUACCUUAAAAAAGCAGGAAAGCCUUAUGAGUGAUUCUCAUGACCGACUCGUCACAAAGGCAGCAGUUUAGUGGUCAGGACCCUCUAGGACUUACUUUCAAAAGUAUGAAAUGCAUCAGUAGUACAGUCAUUCGGUGACAUGCGUGCUACACUAUAGUCCCCAUUUCGUAUUCUAGUCAGGCUUGUUCAACUACAGCACUCCCAGUGGCAGCUUUAAACCAGGUUGUAGUCUUCCAGGUUGCCCUGCAGGAUGUGGUCUUUAACAGCGUGGAAGACAAAGCGAAUGUUGUCCGUGUCGGUAGCGCAGGUGAAGUGGUAGUAAAUGAGCUUUUUGCGGUUCGGAUGCAGGUUGACGAACAUGUUCAAGAUGAAAUCCUGGCCCGCUUUGACGUCCCGCUGCGGACCUGCAUUGGGUCGGAGGGGACAAAAUUACAGUCGGGUUAUUGUCCGUAAUUCAUCUUCGGUGGUUUAGAGGGAUAGCCUCUUUAAUGCUCUCAUCUACUGAAACAUUGUAAUCUUCAGUGGAAAUAAUGACUUGCCCACCACGAGGCACAAAACAGCUGGGGGCUUCUAAUACAUAUCGUGCUGCUGGACAAAGUUUCCUCUCACCGUUAUAUUCAGGAAAGUAGUCAACCAAAUGUGAAUGCAUUAUUUUCUCCUCCAGCAAAUCAAUCUUGUUAAGAAACAAGAUGACCGAGGACUCUUCAAACCAGUCGUAGGUGAUGAUAGUCCGGAACAAAGCCAUGCUCUCCUCCAUUCGAUUCUUAAAAGACAGAAAAAAACAAUAAAUUCAUUAUUAACACAACCCCUGAGUGGUAUGUCUAGAGAUGUGAACUCAAAUAUGCUGCUAGGAAAACUGCAAAUUCUAUUUGUUUGUCAUGACAACAGGCCUGGCAGAGUGACUGAAGAGCUCCCCCUGCAGAUCAAUUAAGCACACUGCCACAGAGGAAGAGUGAAGACAGAUUUGCAACCAGGCGACUUUUAGGCCUUGUCCACACGAACACAGAUACUUAAUAAACAUAUAUGUAUCUCUGCG
This is a long non-coding RNA of Nerophis ophidion (straightnose pipefish), 6217 nucleotides long. RefSeq lists it as uncharacterized. NCBI's taxonomy places the organism in Eukaryota, Metazoa, Chordata, Actinopteri, Syngnathiformes, Syngnathidae. The record is from RefSeq and is a predicted model, not a curated record. The transcript has 3 exons.